This 825-nucleotide ribosomal RNA is filed under the name Loigolactobacillus coryniformis. RNAcentral describes it as "bacterial SSU rRNA". It matches the Rfam family "Bacterial small subunit ribosomal RNA", at positions 117 to 926 of the family's 1533-position model. The record is from RNAcentral. Lineage: Bacteria; Bacillati; Bacillota; Bacilli; Lactobacillales; Lactobacillaceae.
GUGGGUAACCUACCCUUAAGUGGGGGAUAACAUUUGGAAACAGAUGCUAAUACCGCAUAACCAUUCAGACCACAUGGUCUGAAUGUAAAAGACGGCCUUUGGCUGUCACUUUUGGACGGACCCGCGGCGUAUUAGUUAGUUGGUAAGGUAACGGCUUACCAAGACAAUGAUACGUAGCCGACCUGAGAGGGUAAUCGGCCACAUUGGGACUGAGACACGGCCCAAACUCCUACGGGAGGCAGCAGUAGGGAAUCUUCCACAAUGGACGAAAGUCUGAUGGAGCAACGCCGCGUGAGUGAAGAAGGUUUUAGGAUCGUAAAACUCUGUUGUUGGAGAAGAACAGGGACUAGAGUAACUGUUAGUCCUUUGACGGUAUCCAACCAGAAAGCCACGGCUAACUACGUGCCAGCAGCCGCGGUAAUACGUAGGUGGCAAGCGUUGUCCGGAUUUAUUGGGCGUAAAGCGAGCGCAGGCGGUUUUUUAAGUCUGAUGUGAAAGCCUUCGGCUUAACCGAAGAAGUGCAUUAGAAACUGGGAAACUUGAGUGCAGAAGAGGACAGUGGAACUCCAUGUGUAGCGGUGAAAUGCGUAGAUAUAUGGAAGAACACCAGUGGCGAAGGCGGCUGUCUGGUCUGUAACUGACGCUGAGGCUCGAAAGUAUGGGGAGCGAACAGGAUUAGAUACCCUGGUAGUCCAUACCGUAAACGAUGAAUGCUAAGUGUUGGAGGGUUUCCGCCCUUCAGUGCUGCAGCUAACGCAUUAAGCAUUCCGCCUGGGGAGUACGACCGCAAGGUUGAAACUCAAAGGAAUUGACGGGGGCCCGCAC